GAGUGGAAGUCAAAUUGACUGAGUGGCGGACGGGUGAGUAACGCGUGGGUAACCUGCCUCAUACAGGGGGAUAACAGUUAGAAAUGACUGCUAAUACCGCAUAAGCGCCACGGAAGCGCAUGCUUCUGUGUGUGAAAAACUCCGGUGGUAUGAGAUGGACCUGCGUCUGAUUAGCUGGUUGGUGAGGUAACGGCCCACCAAGGCGACGAUCAGUAGCCGACCUGAGAGGGUGACCGGCCACAUUGGGACUGAGACACGGCCCAAACUCCUACGGGAGGCAGCAGUGGGGAAUAGUUGCACAAUGGGGGAAACCCGUGAUGCAGCGACGCCGCGUGAGUGAAGAAGUAUUUCGGUUAUGUAAAGCUCUAUCAGCAGGGAAGAGAAUGACGGUACCUGACUAAGAAGCCCCGGCUAACUACGUGCCAGCAGCCGCGGUAA
This 438-nucleotide ribosomal RNA is filed under the name uncultured bacterium. RNAcentral's name for it is "bacterial SSU rRNA". It matches the Rfam family "Bacterial small subunit ribosomal RNA", at positions 73 to 523 of the family's 1533-position model. The record is from RNAcentral.